ACGGGAGGCAGCAGUGGGGAAUAUUGGACAAUGGGGGAAACCCUGAUCCAGCGACGCCGCGUGAGUGAAGAAGGAUUUCGGUAUGUAAAGCUCUAUCAGCAAGGAAGAAAAUGACGGUACUUGACUAAGAAGCCCCGGCUAACUACGUGCCAGCAGCCGCGGUAAUACGUAGGGGGCAAGCGUUAUCCGGAUUUACUGGGUGUAAAGGGAGCGUAGACGGCAUAGCAAGUCUGAAGUGAAAUGCAUGGGCUCAACCCAUGAACUGCUUUGGAAACUGUUAAGCUAGAGUGCAGGAGAGGUAAGUGGAAUUCCUAGUGUAGCGGUGAAAUGCGUAGAUAUUAGGAGGAACACCAGUGGCGAAGGCGGCUUACUGGACUGUAACUGACGUUGAGGCUCGAAAGCGUGGGGAGCAAACAGGAUUAGAUACCCUGGUA
RNAcentral lists this ribosomal RNA (434 nucleotides) under uncultured Lachnospiraceae bacterium. RNAcentral describes it as "bacterial SSU rRNA". It matches the Rfam family "Bacterial small subunit ribosomal RNA", at positions 341 to 792 of the family's 1533-position model. Lineage: Bacteria; Bacillati; Bacillota; Clostridia; Lachnospirales; Lachnospiraceae. The record is from RNAcentral.